GUCAACAAAAUUGGGCCGAAGCAAAUUAAUUGUCACAAGGAGUUGUGCGCUGCGCUGAGCUGUUCGUUCUUAAAGGUUUCACUUUGGCCACAAAAUUUAGCAGCAGCAAAUUCAUUGCUCCAAGGAGUUGUGCGCUGUAAGGAGCUGUUCGUUCUUAAAGGAUUCACUGUACUUGCAUUCAAUACUGGCAAUGGCAUGUUGAUACGCAACGCUCUAGCAUUUUACUUUGCUUUUUGUGCUUAAUGGUUUUGUGCCAUGACAUACGUGGCUGGAUAUUAAAAUGGGUGCCCCUCCUCUGCCCCUCCGCCUUCCUAGAGGUAGGACGAGAGCC
This is a long non-coding RNA of Drosophila novamexicana, 331 nucleotides long. RefSeq lists it as uncharacterized. The transcript has 3 exons. The record is from RefSeq and is a predicted model, not a curated record. NCBI's taxonomy places the organism in Eukaryota, Metazoa, Arthropoda, Insecta, Diptera, Drosophilidae.